This 300-nucleotide long non-coding RNA is filed under the name Setaria italica (foxtail millet). Its description in RNAcentral is "long non-coding RNA (SITA_LNC000005)". Lineage: Eukaryota; Viridiplantae; Streptophyta; Magnoliopsida; Poales; Poaceae. The record is from RNAcentral.
UCGCCGUAGUCGUCUUCGCCCUCAGGGUCCGGGAGCCAUCCGUCGGGGUCGCUGGCGGGGGUGUCGCCGGCGUUGUCGAUGAGGUACUGGAGGUCCUCCUCCUCAUCCUUGCCGCCGGUGGUGGUGGUGGUGGCAGGGGCGGAGGGGGAGGCGGCGGCGGCGAAGAGGAGGAGCAGGAGGACGGCGGCGAGAGAUCGAGGGGACAUGGCUGCCUGGCUCUUCCUCUUCCUCUCCCUCUCCAGCAGCAGCUACAGAGGAGGGGAGGAGAGGAGAGAUCUCGCCAGGCAGAUGGAUUCGAUU